CCUACGGGGCGCAGCAGUAGGGAAUUUUCGUCAAUGGGCGCAAGCCUGAACGAGCAAUGCCGCGUGAACGAGGAAGGUCUUCGGAUCGUAAAGUUCUGUUGAAGGGGAAAAAGAGCGGAGAGAGGAAAUGCUUUCUGAUUGAUAUUACCCUUCGAGGAAGUCACGGCUAACUACGUGCCAGCAGCCGCGGUAAUACGUAUGGUGCAAGCGUUAUCCGGAUUUACUGGGUGUAAAGGGAGCGCAGGCGGCGCGUUAAGCCUGGUGUGAAAGCCCGCGGCCCAACCGCGGGACUG
This 293-nucleotide ribosomal RNA is filed under the name uncultured bacterium. RNAcentral describes it as "partial 16S ribosomal RNA". It matches the Rfam family "Bacterial small subunit ribosomal RNA", at positions 338 to 623 of the family's 1533-position model. The record is from RNAcentral.